AUGGCGUUAUCAGCUGCUCCUGCCGGCCAGGCACCGCCGCUGGGGAAGCAGCUCAGCUACCAGCUCGCCGCUGCUGUGAGGAGCAUCAACUGGACUUACGCCAUUUUCUGGUCCAUGUCCACCGGCCUGCGCCCACCUGGAGUUCUGACGUGGAAGGACGGGUUCUACAACGGCGAGGUAAAGACGAGGAAGAUCAUAAGCUUGACUACCACGGAGGUUACCGCAAACGACCUCAUCCUGCAGAGGAGCGAGCAGCUAAGGGAGCUCUACGAGUCUCUCCUGUCCGGCAAGGCGGACCACCGGGGGAGGCGUCCUGCCGCCUCGCUGUCGCCAGAGGAUCUCGGGGAAGCCGAGUGGUACUACACACUGAGCAUGACUUACUCAUUCCGGCCUGGUCAAGGGUUGCCAGGCAAGAGCUUUGCGAGCAAUCAGCAUGUUUGGUUGUACAACGCUCAAUACGCAGACACCAAAGCUUUCAAGCGCGCUCUCUUAGCAAAGACUGCGCCUAUUCAGACAGUCGUUUGCAUUCCCUUCAUGGGUGGUGUGCUGGAGCUUGGGACAUCGGAUUUGGUGCUGGAGGAUCCAGACAUGGUGAACGCGAUCGGCACAUCAUUCUGGGAGCUACCCUUCCAGGCAUGCUUGGAGUCGGAGGCGCCAAGCUCUAGUCCAUCAACAAAUGAAAUCGGAAACGGGGAGGUAGACAUCGUCGUGUUCGAAGACCUUGAUCACAAUGUCGCCGAGAGGUUCAUCUCUGAGCUAGGCGAGGUUGAGAGCAUGUCCGACGCCAACAUCAAUUGCGCCACCAAGGAAGUGGAUGACUUCUAUGACCUCAUUGAGGAGUUGGACGUGUGUGCUCUUGAGGACAACUUGGUCAUGGAAAGGUCCUUUGAGUUCAUGUCUUCCUUGGAAAUGGCGCCAGACAUGGAUGCACUAAGAAUCGAUGAUAACACCAUCACUUUAAGUAGCUCUGUUAAUGGCUCUCGUCCAUCCUGCUUUACCGUAUGGAAGAGGUCAUCAGACUGGGAAGACAUGGAUGUGCGGGAUCUCGGGGAGUCACAAAAGUUGCUGAAGAAAGUUGUGGCGGGCGGUGGAUGGACGAUGAGAGCUCAAGAAAGUAACAUCAAGACACAUGUCUUGUCGGAAAGAAGACACCGGGAGAAGCUCAAUGAGAUGUUCCUAGUUCUCAAGUCAUUGGUCCCGUCCAUUAACAAGAUGGACAAAGCAUCCAUCCUCGCAGAGACGAUAACCUAUCUCAAAGAGCUAGAGCAAAGGGUAGAAGAGCUAGAAUCUAGCAGGGCACCAUCAUGGCACCCAAAAGAAGCAACGGGACGGGGGCUCCAUGAUGUUGCUAGAAGGAAGAAGAUCAAACUAUCAACUGGAUGCAAGAGGAAGGCGCCGGAGUCAGAGAGGGAGGAUGACGAUGGCCCAACCAAUGUUGUCAAUGUGACCAUGAUGGAUAAUGAGGUGAUCUUGGAGGUGCAAUGCCGAUGGAAGAAGCUGUUGAUGACACGAGUGUUCGACGCCAUCAGGAGCCUACGUUUGGACAUCGUCUCCGUGCACACAUCCACACCGGGUGGCCUUCUUGAACUCAAGAUACGAGCCACUCACCAGGUCUCAACCUCACCACCACCUUCUAAGGUCGAUCCGAUAAUAUAUGUAGAAUAUAUAAAGUUUAUUAAGGCUUCACAUUAUAGUCUCAUUUACCAACAUUGUUGGAUCGUUGCAGGUUGCGGCUGGUUCUGGUACUGUGGCACCUGGGAUGAUCACUGA
This 1770-nucleotide ribosomal RNA is filed under the name Triticum aestivum (bread wheat). RNAcentral describes it as "partial small subunit ribosomal RNA". Lineage: Eukaryota; Viridiplantae; Streptophyta; Magnoliopsida; Poales; Poaceae. The record is from RNAcentral.